AUGGGGCCCCAUCUAGUCCCACAGCUCCCCUUCCACCAGGUCAGCAGAGGGGCAGGUGACCAACAACUCACAUGUUCUGAGGAUAUCUUUGCUAGAACCUCAGGGCUGGGUGUGCCCACCACCUCCAUGAUACGCUUCAGCUGGUCGAUGUCUGCCUGGCUCAGGAAAGGUCCAAUGGCCAGGUAUGGACUCUCCUGGGAUCCCAGACCCCAGACCUUGGGUCACUGCGCAGACCCUGCUCUCCUGCCGCUGGGGACAGUGAGCCCACAGUGGCAUGGUGUGGGGCAGAGGAGGCAAGACUGGCCAGAAAGCGCCGGAGCCCACGUCCCUAGACCCCCACCCUGCAAUGGGAGGCCCAACCUUCCUCCCCAACCUGAACCAAGGAUACAGUCACUUCCGGGGAAGAGAGCCUUUCCCUGGAGCAGCUCAGCCAUGAUGCAGCCCACGGACCAGAUGUCCACUGAAGCAGAAGGUGUCGCCAUCAGUCUGCCCACCCCAAGUCCCGCCCCAGAGAGCUGGGGGCUGGGCCCACAGCCCCACCCACACAUCCAGGCCCCUUCCUGACGGCGCCCUGGGCAGGGCAAGGGGCAGCCCAGGAGCUGCGGUGCCCUGCCUCUCUGAAGAUCUGGUCCUGAGCACCUGGCCUGUCCCCAAGGCCCCUGGCCUCCGGGCCCGCCCACCCCCGCAGGCCGCGCCCCGCGGGGCUGCCGUCACCUGUCUGGCUGUAGUGCAUCCAGUUUAGCAUGAUCUCGGGGGCCC
RNAcentral lists this long non-coding RNA (759 nucleotides) under Ovis aries (sheep). Its description in RNAcentral is "lncRNA (ENSOARG00000026082.1)". Lineage: Eukaryota; Metazoa; Chordata; Mammalia; Artiodactyla; Bovidae. The record is from RNAcentral.